RNAcentral lists this ribosomal RNA (400 nucleotides) under Pelobates cultripes (western spadefoot toad). RNAcentral's name for it is "SSU_rRNA_microsporidia". It matches the Rfam family "Eukaryotic small subunit ribosomal RNA", at positions 124 to 472 of the family's 1831-position model. The record is from RNAcentral. Lineage: Eukaryota; Metazoa; Chordata; Amphibia; Anura; Pelobatidae.
CGAAGGUACCGUCAAAAGAAGGGUUGUUAAAAUAUAUAUAUAUAUAUAUAUAUUUUUUUAUUUAUUUUAUUUUUUUUAAAUUGGGGUAGCCCCCAAAAUACUGUAUUACUAUAAAAAAGACAACUCUGUUCUGCAGAGUAGCUGUUGACAUUAUAGUUGCGUUGGAACUUUGUUGACUCUAGAGAACCUCGGGCAAAUCACACAUCCCUGUGGCGGCGAUUUGCAUGCAGAUGUCAUCCAUAUCAACUUUCGAUGCCAGUUUCUGCGCCUACCAUGGUGACCACGGGUAACGGGGAAUCAGGGUUCCAUUCCGUACAGGGACCCUGAGAAACGGCUACCACAUGCAAGGAAGGCAGCAGGCGCGCAAAUGACCCACUCCCGACGCGGGAAGGUGGUGACG